ACAAAAAAAAUCUAAAAGAAAUGAUAGCAUUAAAAUUUUUUCAGCUAAUGAAGAUCAUGAAUGAAAGAAAUUAAGUAUCAGAUGUGAUAUAGCUCCUAUGUGUUUACACGUAACUUUUGGUAAUUUAAAAGGCAGUGUUAGUGAAGGUGAAAUGGAGACACAAAUCAGUUGAUUCUGAUUUUUGUGAACAGGUCUGGUAAAAAGUGGGAUUAAAAAAGAUGUUGAAUACAAGUAAUAAAAUGAAGUUUGAGUUUACUGUAUUCGUGCAUUUAUCACUAUGUCAAUGAGAGCCCAAGUGCAUAACUGAGAUUUAUCCAAAGACCAGAAGAAACUUAUCAAUAACUAAUUAAGACCUAAAAGAAAUGUGCACUGUUUCAGGAUAUCUGCUCAAUGUUUUAGGAUCCCUCCCUUAAGAGGCUUACGAUUGUAACCAGGAAAACAAGUGCACUGCUCACAAUAGUAAAAAGGAAGGAGAGGGCUCUAAAAAUUGCUGGGCAAUUUCAAAGAAGAGAAGAUGACUGUGAAAGUAGAUGACGCGACUGUCGAAGGAACAGGUGAGAGGUGAACUGUAAGUACUGGGCUUUCUUGGGAUGCAGUCCGGGGCCCUCUGCCCCUCUCUUCCUCAGUGCAGGGUGUCAGCAGUUGCUAUGGAUUUAAGGGUCCUUAUGCAAGGACCCUGAAAUGUGCACCUCCAGGGAUGCUCUUUCCUCCCCUCUGAGCUGCAGGCUCACCUACUUAACUGCCUACUUAGCAUCAUCUUCACCUUGACAUUCAUUCCACACAUUCAUGCAGAGAACCCACCAUGUGCCGGACACCGUCCUACACAUUGGGUUAGUGCGGUGAAUGUGACCAAAGAUCCCUGCUGACAUGGAACUUCCAUUUUACUGCAAUAACAUAGGUACUAAGUAAGUUCAAUUAGCAACUCGUUGCAGAAAGUGCUAUGUGCUAUGAAGGAAAUCAAACAGGGUGACAGCACAGAAAAAGAGGAGAGGAGGAGAGUAAUGCAGGAAAAGCCUGUCCUGGCAUGUGAUGGAAUCCCUGGAAUGAUGUUGCACCUUGCAUAUAUGAAGGUCCGGGGAAAGCAUGUUCCGUGUGUGAGGAGCCCUGAAGCAGGCAUGGAGUCCCUCAGAUUUUCUCCAACUCAGUAUGUCCAGAGUACAACCCCCCGCCACAACCUUGCUCCCCACUCUUCCCCAUCUUAGUAAAUGAUAUUUACUUUUAAGCCAGAAACACAGGAGUCUUUUUGGUGUGUGUGUGUGUGUGUGUGUGUGUGUGUGUGUGUGUGUGUGUGUGUUUUAAUGCUCUCUUCUCUCCGCCAUGUUACAGGAGGUCUCUAUCAUCUCUCCCUUAGAAUUCAGUGCUGCCUCAUCUGUAGGUACAUUGCAUACAGCAGGUGUUAGUUUGAAUCAUUAAUCCCUGCUUCCCCUGCAGCCCUGGGAAGGGCACGUUUCUGCCUUGCAAUAUUAUGAACUCUGAAACAGGAUUGUGACUUUUGUAUCUUACUGAUUUUGUGAAGCUGCCUGUCUAGAUUUGAUUGUGGGGUCUGGUUGUCUCAUUUGUACAAGAAGUGUCCUAUGGCUUUAUUUUCCUUAAAAUACAACCAUCUUAGACUCCUGAGCCCCAUCCCCCCGAGUCGGUUCAUGUUAGAGCUCCCCGGCAUCACGUCGUGGAAGGUCCCAAGGAAAACACUCGGGGAGCCUUUCAGUCUUCACCAACACUGGCCCCCCCUCACCCACCCUUAACCAAGCCCUCGUGGCACCUUGAAGAUAAAGGUGAAAGACCUCCCAGAAAGAAAAAAAAAAAACCUUCUUGGGAGCCAUUUGAUAAUUCAUCUCUGCCCAGUUCCCUCCUCCCACCAAAAACGUAAGGUUGAAGUAAAGACAUUAACCAUCAGAUUUCUGACCAAGGUGUCUGAGACACCGAUUCGAACACCAUCCAGAAAGCUGAACUCUUAUACACACACACGAGAGUCCUUCUCACACAUGGCUGCACACUAAAUCACCCAGCCGGCUUCUGAAAACAGAAUGCCUGGGCCCCACCCCAGACCAUCUGGGGGUAGAGCCUAGGUGUUGAGUUAUUAAGAACUUUCGCACACAGCUCUCCUGAACAGUGAGGGGUAAGAACUUCCGGCCUAGAGGAGCACCUGGGUGGCUCAGUCAGUUGAGCACUGACUCUUGGUUUUGGCUCAGUUCAUCAUCUCAUGGUUCGUGGGUUAGAGCCCCAAAUCGGGGCUUGAAGCCUGCUCCGGAUUCUGUGUCUCCAUCUCUCUUUGCCCUUCCCCCACGCAUGCUCUGUCUCUCUCUCUCGAAAUUAAAUAAACGUAAAAAAAAAAAAAAGAA
Acinonyx jubatus (cheetah) is the source of this 2339-nucleotide long non-coding RNA. RefSeq lists it as uncharacterized. The transcript has 2 exons. The record is from RefSeq and is a predicted model, not a curated record. Lineage: Eukaryota; Metazoa; Chordata; Mammalia; Carnivora; Felidae.